Molecule: ribosomal RNA, 440 nt
Filed under: uncultured bacterium
Lineage: Bacteria
Description: partial 16S ribosomal RNA
Rfam family: Bacterial small subunit ribosomal RNA
Source: RNAcentral
CCUACGGGGGGCAGCAGUGGGGAAUAUUGCACAAUGGGGGAAACCCUGAUGCAGCGACGCCGCGUGAGUGAAGAAGAAAUUCGAGAGGGAAAGCUCUAUGAGCAGGGAAGAAAAUGACGGUACAUGAGUAAGAAGCCCCGGCUAACGACGUGCCAGCAGCCGCGGUAAUACGUAGGGGGCACGCGUUAUCCGGAUUUACUGGGUGUAAAGGGAGCGUAGACGGCAGUGCAAGUCUGGAGUGAAAGGCGGGGGCUCAACCCCCGGACUGCUCUGGAAACUGUACGGCGGGAGUGCAGGUGCGUUAAGUGGAAUUCCUAGUGUAGCGGUGAAAUGCUUAGAUAUUAGGUGGAACACCAGUGGCGAAGGCGGCUUACUGGACUGUAUCUGACGUUGAGGCUCGAACGCGUGGGGAGCAAACAGGAUUAGAUACCCGAGUAGUC